UAGGGAAUCUUCGGCAAUGGACGAAAGUCUGACCGAGCAACGCCGCGUGAGUGAAGAAGGUUUUCGGAUCGUAAAACUCUGUUGUUAGAGAAGAACAAGGACGUAGUAACUGAACGUCCCCUGACGGUAUCUAACCAGAAAGCCACGGCUAACUACGUGCCAGCAGCCGCGGUAAUACGUAGGUGGCAAGCGUUGUCCGGAUUUAUUGGGCGUAAAGCGAGCGCAGGCGGUUUCUUAAGUCUGAUGUGAAAGCCCCCGGCUCAACCGGGGAGGGUCAUAGGAAACUGGGAGACGUGAGUGCAGAAGAGGAGAGUGGAAUUCCAUGUGUAGCGGUGAAAUGCGUAGAUAUAUGGAGGAACACCAGUGGCGAAGGCGGCUCUCUGGUCUGUAACUGACGCUGAGGCUCGAAAGCGUGGGGAGCAAACAGG
Molecule: ribosomal RNA, 428 nt
Filed under: Gemmatimonadota bacterium
Lineage: Bacteria; Pseudomonadati; Gemmatimonadota
Description: Gemmatimonadetes bacterium partial 16S ribosomal RNA
Rfam family: Bacterial small subunit ribosomal RNA
Source: RNAcentral